RNAcentral lists this ribosomal RNA (253 nucleotides) under uncultured bacterium. RNAcentral's name for it is "partial 16S ribosomal RNA". It matches the Rfam family "Archaeal small subunit ribosomal RNA", at positions 474 to 726 of the family's 1478-position model. The record is from RNAcentral.
UACCAGCACCCCGAGUGGUCGGGACGUUUAUUGGGCCUAAAGCAUCCGUAGCCGGUUCUACAAGUCUUCCGUUAAAUCCAACUGCUUAACAGGUGGGCCUGCGGAAGAUACUAUAGAGCUAGGAGGCGGGAGAGGCAAGCGGUACUCGAUGGGUAGGGGUAAAAUCCGUUGAUCCAUUGAAGACCACCAGUGGCGAAGGCGGCUUGCCAGAACGCGCUCGACGGUGAGGGAUGAAAGCUGGGGGAGCAAACGG